GCUCAGUACGGCGAGUGAGCGGCAAAAGCUCAAAUUUGAAAUCUAGCACCUUCGGUGUUCGAGUUGUAAUUUGAAGAUGGUAACCUUGGGUUUGGCUCUUGUCUAUGUUCCUUGGAACAGGACGUCAUAGAGGGUGAGAAUCCCGUCUGAUGAGAUGCCCAUUCCUAUGUAAGGUGCUAUCGAAGAGUCGAGUUGUUUGGGAAUGCAGCUCUAAGUGGGUGGUAAAUUCCAUCUAAAGCUAAAUAUUGGCGAGAGACCGAUAGCGAACAAGUACAGUGAUGGAAAGAUGAAAAGAACUUUGAAAAGAGAGUGAAAAAGUACGUGAAAUUGUUGAAAGGGAAGGGCAUUAGAUCAGACUUGGUGUUUUACGAUUAUCUUCUCUUCUUGAGUUGUGCACUCGUAUUUCACUGGGCCAGCAUCGAUUCGGAUGGCAAGAUAAUGGCAGUUGAAUGUGGCUUCACUUCGGUGGAGUGUUAUAGCUUCUGCUGAUAUUGCCUGUCUGGAUCGAGGGCUGCGUCUUUUGACUAGGAUGCUGGCGUAAUGAUCUAAUGCCGCCCGUCUU
RNAcentral lists this ribosomal RNA (562 nucleotides) under Wickerhamomyces sp. H1Y31. RNAcentral describes it as "eukaryotic LSU rRNA". It matches the Rfam family "Eukaryotic large subunit ribosomal RNA", at positions 78 to 655 of the family's 3401-position model. The record is from RNAcentral. Lineage: Eukaryota; Fungi; Ascomycota; Saccharomycetes; Phaffomycetales; Wickerhamomycetaceae.